RNAcentral lists this ribosomal RNA (253 nucleotides) under uncultured bacterium. Its description in RNAcentral is "partial 16S ribosomal RNA". It matches the Rfam family "Bacterial small subunit ribosomal RNA", at positions 524 to 776 of the family's 1533-position model. The record is from RNAcentral.
UACGUAGGGUGCGAGCGUUAAUCGGAAUUACUGGGCGUAAAGCGUGCGCAGGCGGUUUUUUCAGACAGAUGUGAAAUCCCCGGGCUUAACCUGGGAACUGCAUUUGUGACUGCAAGACUAGAGUGCGGCAGAGGGGGGUAGAAUUCCACGUGUAGCAGUGAAAUGCGUAGAUAUGUGGAGGAAGACCGAUGGCGAAGGCGACUACCUGGACAAUUGCUGACACUCAGGCACGAAAGCAUGGGGAGCAAAAGGG